UACCGAUUGAAUGAUUUAGUGAGGUCUUCGGAUCGAUACUCGAUGGCGUUUAGGCGUUGUCGAAGCAUCGAAAAGAUGACCAAACUUGAUCAUUUAGAGGAAGUAAAAGUCGUAACAAGGUUUCCGUAGGUGAAC
This 135-nucleotide ribosomal RNA is filed under the name Lissorhoptrus oryzophilus (rice water weevil). Its description in RNAcentral is "partial 18S ribosomal RNA". It matches the Rfam family "Eukaryotic small subunit ribosomal RNA", at positions 1683 to 1814 of the family's 1831-position model. The record is from RNAcentral. Lineage: Eukaryota; Metazoa; Arthropoda; Insecta; Coleoptera; Erirhinidae.